RNAcentral lists this ribosomal RNA (529 nucleotides) under Amolops sp. 6 YW-2020. RNAcentral describes it as "partial large subunit ribosomal RNA". It matches the Rfam family "Bacterial large subunit ribosomal RNA", at positions 1830 to 2571 of the family's 2925-position model. Lineage: Eukaryota; Metazoa; Chordata; Amphibia; Anura; Ranidae. The record is from RNAcentral.
AUCGCCUCCUGAUUAAACAUAGGAGGUCCAGCCUGCCCAGUGACAAAGUUCAACGGCCGCGGUACCCUAACCGUGCGAAGGUAGCAUAAUCACUUGUUCUUUAAAUGAGGACUAGUAUCAACGGCACCACGAGGACUAUACUGUCUCCCCUCUCCAAUCAGUGAAACUGAUCUCCCCGUGAAGAAGCGGGGAUAAACCUAUAAGACGAGAAGACCCUAUGGAGCUUUAAACCCGAUAUCCACCUCCGCAUAAUUAAACCAACUUAGCUAUAAAGAUAUGUUUACCGGUUUUAGGUUGGGGGGACCGCGGAGUAAAACUAAACCUCCACGACAAAUGGGCUACGCCCUAAUCCAUGAACCACAAUUCUAAGAGCCAACAAAUUGUUGUCCAAUGACCCAAUUACUUGAUCAACGAACUAAGUUACCCUAGGGAUAACAGCGCAAUCUACUUUGAGAGCCCCUAUCGACAAGUAGGUUUACGACCUCGAUGUUGGAUCAGGGUGUCCCAGUGGCGCAGCCGCUACUAAAGG